Molecule: ribosomal RNA, 503 nt
Filed under: uncultured bacterium
Lineage: Bacteria
Description: partial 16S ribosomal RNA
Rfam family: Bacterial small subunit ribosomal RNA
Source: RNAcentral
AUUGAACGCUGGCGGCAGGCUUAACACAUGCAAGUCGAGCGGGGUGAUGGUGCUUGCACUAUCACUUAGCGGCGGACGGGUGAGUAAUGCUUAGGAAUCUGCCUAUUAGUGGGGGACAACAUCUCGAAAGGGAUGCUAAUACCGCAUACGUCCUACGGGAGAAAGCAGGGGACCACUUGUGACCUUGCGCUAAUAGAUGAGCCUAAGUCGGAUUAGCUAGUUGGUAGGGUAAAGGCCUACCAAGGCGACGAUCUGUAGCGGGUCUGAGAGGAUGAUCCGCCACACUGGGACUGGGACACGGCCCAGACUCCUACGGGAGGCAGCAGUGGGGAAUAUUGGACAAUGGGGGGAACCCUGAUCCAGCCAUGCCGCGUGUGUGAAGAAGGCCUUAUGGUUGUAAAGCACUUUAAGCGAGGAGGAGGCUCUUUUGGUUAAUACCCAAGAUGAGUGGACGUUACUCGCAGAAUAAGCACCGGCUAACUCUGUGCCAGCCGCCGCCGUAA